RNAcentral lists this long non-coding RNA (641 nucleotides) under Ananas comosus (pineapple). Its description in RNAcentral is "long non-coding RNA (ACOM_LNC022866)". The record is from RNAcentral. Lineage: Eukaryota; Viridiplantae; Streptophyta; Magnoliopsida; Poales; Bromeliaceae.
UUGGAUCUACUUUUUGAUUAUUAAUAGCCCUUGGAUUAAACACUAUUCCACCUACCACCACCUACCACCAUCAUCUCAACCUCACAUCUCUCCAUCCAAGGGCUAAAAACACACAAGUAUCACCCCCAUGAUACUUUUACAAAUAUUCUAGCCCUACUCUAUAUAUAUAUAUAUAUAUAUAUAUAAGUUUAAUUUUAUAUAAAUCCCUGCAAACAUAGUGAAUUAUAAAUAUAUCUCUACAAAGUUCAACUUUUAUAUUUUGUUUCUGUAAAAAUUUUAAUAUUUUUAAAUAUAAAUCUACCGUUAGAAUCCGUUUGGAAAACUUUAGUUAACCAUAAGUUAAAUACUUAACUCUGAUUAAUUUAUGAGAUAAAUUGACAUUUUUGUCCCUCUUAUAUUAUACUGUUGUGACUUUUGGAGGGAGGCGUAUUUGUGAUGGCAAAAUUGACAUUUUACUUAAAAUAUAAAACAGUUCUACAACGGUAACAAGUUAGAUGGACAUAUUUGAAAAUAUUAAGAUAUUUAGAAAAACAACAUAUGAAAGUUGAAUUUUAAAGAGAUAUAUUUAUAAUUUACUAUAUUUGUAGGGAUCUGUAUAAAAUUAACUCUUAUAAAAGCAUAUACUUUCUUAACUACUUUUA